This 1789-nucleotide unclassified non-coding RNA is filed under the name Hevea brasiliensis (rubber tree). The record is from RNAcentral. Lineage: Eukaryota; Viridiplantae; Streptophyta; Magnoliopsida; Malpighiales; Euphorbiaceae.
GAUCUGGACCUCAAAUAUUAUUAUAAAAUCAAUGUCGGUUACGAUUUCUAUCAGCCAGGUAAUGAAUCCUCCUUAAUUCUUCCAUAACCUUCCAGACUCGUAAUGGAACCUCCUGGAAGCUUUCCUCAUUCUCCAAUUUUCCCCAGAAACUUCCUUUUGAAACCCACUCCCCCAUGGCUACUCUUUAAAUACUCCGACGCUCUCCGUCCCUCUAGCCAAGAACGAAAUACGUCUGCUGAAGAAGAAAAGGAAGCUUCUGUUCCCUGCUUGCGAUAAGAUCCUCGAUUGAAGAAAAGAGAAAUGGAUAUUAGGUUGUUAGGUCUCGAAUCUCCCCUCUUUUCCACCAUCCAGCAUCUGAUGGACACGACCGAUGAAGCCGAAAAGUCAUUCAACGCGCCGACUCGAACUUAUGUAAGGGACGCGAAGGCCAUGGCUUCAACUCCGGCUGACGUCAAAGAGUAUCCCAACUCCUAUGUGUUUAUCAUCGACAUGCCAGGGUUGAAAUCUGGGGACAUCAAGGUCCAGGUGGAGGAUGACAAUAUGCUGCUGAUCAGCGGAGAGAGGAAGCGUGAAGAGGAGAAGGAAGGUGCUAAGUAUGUGAGGAUGGAAAGAAGGGUCGGCAAGUUAAUGAGGAAGUUUGUGCUGCCUGAAAAUGCUAAUGCUGAUGCCAUUUCGGCGGUCUGCCAGGAUGGGGUUUUGACUGUCACUGUGGAGAAGUUGCCACCGCCGGAGCCCAAGAAGCCCAAGACCAUUGAGGUUAAGAUUGCUUGAGGAGUAUUAUUGUGUACCAUCUAUGGACUAUGACUAUGAGCAGUGUGUUUGGCUAUGUUUUUUAUUUUUUAAUUUUUUUGGGGUGCUGAUGUGUAUCUGAGAUGUUAUAAAAGUUGCUUUUAAAAUUAAAAUCUUCUUUGCUUUUCUCCCUAUUUCUUAUGCACGAAAUUAAGAAUAAUCCCACUAACUAAUGCCAUUCAUCAAAAUUGAAUCCCAGAAAUGUAAACACUCAGCAGGUGAAAUGAUGUCCUGCCGCAUACAAGUUACAGAGAUUGUCAUGCAAUUUCCAGAAGAGGUACAAAAACAGGAAAAUCCAGCUUAUUAAGUACUAAUGAUAGAUAAAUAAUUAACAAGAAUGAAAUGUCUAGGGUAAAUGUUUGCAAGUUUAGAUGAAUUCUAACGAAAUGCUUAAUAUUGGAAAAUGUUCAUCUUGAAUACAAACAGCCUUCUCUCUCUUUCAAAAUUUUUCAAUCUAUGGAAAAAAAAAAGGUGGAUCAAGGAACAAGUAAUAAUUACUUUAAUUCUUCCAAGUUACUGGACCAGUUUUGUUCUGCGGGUUCUCCUCUGCAAAAUUAACCUGGAGUACCAUAUUUUCAAUGCUCCACUGUAGACUGCAGGCAUCAAAACAUUUUUUCUGUUCACAAGGCUGUAUAUUUUAAAAUGACGUUUCUGAGUUGAAAUAGUUCUAGGAGUGUUUCUAAUUCCAUUUUGUUCUUCUGAAUCAUUGAUGUUGCUCUUCUUGACAAAAAGAGCAAUGAAGAACCCCUCUUGGUCCUCAAUUGGAUCUGUUCGAAGUAAAUUCUCAGAGCCCCUGAAAACUGGAAGACCACGACGAUGCCACUGAGGAAAGGGAGUGACCAGCUGAAAGCCGUGGGAUGUUGCAAGAGGUAGAACUGACAUGAUGACAUCUUCAUUUUCAAUUUGGUUGACAGAACAUGUGCUGUAAACAACUCUUUCAACUGCAGGGACUGCAACAGAUUAUUUAAUUAAUGGCUGUUUAUCGUAUGUAAACAACUCC